AUGGUAUCAGAGCCAUCUAGGCUAAGAAUUUCGGUACAAAAUGCAUACACAGAAAGAAAAUUCCUCCCUCCACCCCCCUCCCCCCCAAAGAACCCUAGCAGGGCAGAGACAAACAACAACAAAAAAGCAAAAAGUUCACCGGCAAAGGGCCUUGGCCCCCGCCGGCAAAGUGCGCCGCCACUCCGGCCGCGCCAGUUCCUCUCGAUCCGAACGAGCAUCGGCAAGCCGAGCCGUCUGGACGAAGAACAACCCCGCAAGGGGCAAAGGGCACUGCGACCAAUCCGCUCGACGGUGGCGCGCUCACCGCAAGGUGGACGCGCAGCCGGCGAGGGGGAAGGCCACGGCGCUGCUGCCAUUCGCUCUGCCGUUGUAGAACUCGAAUGGGAGCAAAGGGGGCAGCAGGUUCUCUCUCUCUCUCUGCCACAGGGUGUUAAGGAUGAAAGAAAAGAAAAAAAAACAGAAGGGGGAAGGGAAAAAGUGGAGCCUCGCCGCGCCGGGGAGCCUCGCUAG
This 510-nucleotide ribosomal RNA is filed under the name Triticum aestivum (bread wheat). RNAcentral's name for it is "partial small subunit ribosomal RNA". The record is from RNAcentral. Lineage: Eukaryota; Viridiplantae; Streptophyta; Magnoliopsida; Poales; Poaceae.